CUUUACUGCUGAUGCUUGACUUCCGGCUGCCGUUCCGUCUGACAUCAACAGCAUAGUCACGUUACUCCAGGACUGUUAAGGAGAGUCACUACGAGCUAUGUGUGGAAGCUAGGCUAACUAGCUGAGCAAACUUAGCGCCCUUGGAAGCGGAAGGAGACCAGAGACGCCCUACGGUUCCCGCUGCUGCAGUCCUCUUAAUGACUCGCGAGGCGGGAGGAAAGCUCCGCCUGCGAGUUCGGUCGAGCUGUUGGC
Entelurus aequoreus (snake pipefish) is the source of this 252-nucleotide long non-coding RNA. RefSeq lists it as uncharacterized. Lineage: Eukaryota; Metazoa; Chordata; Actinopteri; Syngnathiformes; Syngnathidae. The record is from RefSeq and is a predicted model, not a curated record. The transcript has 3 exons.